This 441-nucleotide ribosomal RNA is filed under the name uncultured bacterium. RNAcentral describes it as "partial 16S ribosomal RNA". It matches the Rfam family "Bacterial small subunit ribosomal RNA", at positions 338 to 795 of the family's 1533-position model. The record is from RNAcentral.
CCUACGGGUGGCAGCAGUGGGGAAUAUUGCACAAUGGGGGAAACCCUGAUGCAGCGACGCCGCGUGGGUGACGAAGUAUUUCGGUAUGUAAAGCCCUAUCAGCAGGGAAGAAGAUGACAGUACCUGACCAAGAAGCCCCGGCUAACUACGUGCCAGCAGCCGCGGUAAUACGUAGGGGGCAAGCGUUAUCCGGAUUUACUGGGUGUAAAGGGAGCGUAGGUGGCAUGGAAAGCCAGAAGGGAAAACCCGGGGCUUAACCCCGCGGAUUGCUUUUGGAACUGUCAGGCUGGAGUGCAGGAGGGGCAGGCGGAAUUCCUGGUGUAGCGGUGAAAUGCGUAGAUAUCAGGAGGAACACCGGUGGCGAAGGCGGCCUGCUGGACUGUAACUGACACUGAGGCUCGAAAGCGUGGGGAGCAAACAGGAUUAGAUACCCUGGUAGUC